UUCUUGGGGGAAACAACUUUAUAGAUUUUAAAUGAAGUCUGUUUAGAAGGAAAUUGCAAAGUUAUCUUUAAAAACUUAUUAUGAAUUUGAAAUUCUACAUUACACUUUUUUUUCUCAUAUGUCUAUAUGAUUGUGAAAGUAAAAUGAUGGGUGCUUUGAUUUGUGGAAUAUCCCUGUUUAACAUUAUGCAUGAUGAAUCAGUCCAGUUCUACAGUUGUAAAAUUUGAAAUCUGAGGUAUUUGUGGAAAUAGUGCUCAUGUAUCACAAAGGAUCUUAUUGAUAAUUAAGAAAUUGUGGAGAUAUAAGCAAUUUUCCAGGCAAUAUUUUGUAUAAAAUGUUUGGGUGUAAAUUCUUAAACUUUUCAAGCUACAGUCUUGUUAAUGAAAAUGACAAUAUUCUGGAUUAUGGGAUAUGCUGGUUGCAAAUGAAAUUUGAAUCUUGGACAAGAAGAUGAAAACCAGAAUCAUAAAAAAUCAGGUCACAGUACACCCCCCAGAGACGUUGAUCUACAUGAAACAAAGCAAAGGACUAAAACAGACAUGGUGAAGCUGCUUUAAACAGGAUCUUAAAUCACAAUGACAGGGACCAGUUAAGAAGAGAAAACACUUGCAAAGGCUUUAUUCCAAGUACCUAUAUAUGUAGACAUUAAUUUGGCAAAUACUGGCAAUAAAUUUUUACAAGAAAAAAAACUUUAUUAGCAUUUGUGAAUUUUUCUUCAAAUGAAAGGAUAUGCCUGCAGUGUUAUUCAUGACUUGGAUUUUAUUGAUGCAGUAUCAGUAGUGUAAGACUGUAACAGAAUGUAAUAAAAUAUAGUAAUCCAUUUAAGACAAAGUGAAAAUUUCUUAUAUUUAUCCCCAUCUUUAGUGAUAGUGAUUCUAGUUCAGUGAUAUUUCUGCUCACCUUAGCACAGAGUGCCAUUGUGAACUAUUGUGAUUGUAUAAUGUCUGCUAUUUAUACCUUAAUCUUGUAAAAAGAUAUUUUCUCCUCAACCAUUUCUUAUUUUUAAAGAUUGAGUAGCAACAAAUGCACAA
Molecule: long non-coding RNA, 1031 nt
Organism: Ruditapes philippinarum (Manila clam)
Lineage: Eukaryota; Metazoa; Mollusca; Bivalvia; Venerida; Veneridae
Exons: 3
Source: RefSeq, a predicted model, not a curated record